AUUGAACGCUGGCGGCAGGCCUAACACAUGCAAGUCGAGCGGAUGAAGGGAGCUUGCUCCUGGAUUCAGCGGCGGACGGGUGGGUAAUGCCUAGGAAUCUGCCUGGUAGUGGGGGAUAACGUCCGUACACGGGCGCUAAUACCGCAUACGUCCUGAGGGAGAAAGUGGGGGAUCUUCGGACCUCACGCUAUCUGAUGAGCCUAGGUCGGAUUAGCUAGUUGGUUGGGUAAAGGCCUACCAAGGCGACGAUCCGUAACUGGUCUGAGAGGAUGAUCAGUCACACUGGAACUGAGACACGGUCCAGACUCCUACGGGAGGCAGCAGUGGGGAAUAUUCGACAAUGGGCGAAAGCCUGAUGCAGCCAUGCCGCGUGUGUGAAGAAGGUCUUCGGAUUGUAAAGCACUUUAAGUUGGGAGGAAGGGAAGUAAGUUAAUACCUUGCUGUUUUGACGUUACCAACAGAAUAAGCACCGGCUAACUUCGUG
Molecule: ribosomal RNA, 484 nt
Filed under: uncultured bacterium
Lineage: Bacteria
Description: partial 16S ribosomal RNA
Rfam family: Bacterial small subunit ribosomal RNA
Source: RNAcentral